Molecule: unclassified non-coding RNA, 109 nt
Organism: Otolemur garnettii (small-eared galago)
Lineage: Eukaryota; Metazoa; Chordata; Mammalia; Primates; Galagidae
Rfam family: Y RNA
About the family: Y RNAs are components of the Ro ribonucleoprotein particle (Ro RNP), in association with Ro60 and La proteins.
Source: Ensembl
GGCUUAUCUGAAGGCAGUGAGUUAGCUCAAUUCAUUGUUCACAGUCUGUUAUAGAUCAAUCUCCUUAUUCUAUUCCCUGCCCCCCACUACUGCAUUUAACUAGUCCUAA